Molecule: microRNA precursor, 84 nt
Filed under: Microcebus murinus (gray mouse lemur)
Lineage: Eukaryota; Metazoa; Chordata; Mammalia; Primates; Cheirogaleidae
Description: miRNA (ENSMICG00000042622.1)
Source: RNAcentral
GAGGCGGGAGGAUCGCUGGAGCCCAGGAGUUGGAGGCUGCAGUGACGUGUGAUCAUACCACUGCACUCCAGCCUGGGUGACAGA